This 429-nucleotide ribosomal RNA is filed under the name uncultured bacterium. Its description in RNAcentral is "bacterial SSU rRNA". It matches the Rfam family "Bacterial small subunit ribosomal RNA", at positions 917 to 1344 of the family's 1533-position model. The record is from RNAcentral.
GGGCCCGCACAAGCGGUGGAGUAUGUGGUUUAAUUCGAAGAUACGCGCAGAACCUUACCAACACUUGACAUGUUCGUCGCGAGCCUAAGAGAUUAGGCUUUUCAGUUUGGCUGGACGAAACACAGGUGCUGCAUGGCUGUCGUCAGCUCGUGUCGUGAGAUGUUGGGUUAAGUCCCGCAACGAGCGCAACCCCCUACUUUUAGUUGCCACCAUUUAGUUGGGCACUUUAAAAGACUGCCAGUGAUAAGCUGGAGGAAGGUGGGGAUGACGUCAAGUCCUCAUGGCCCUUAUGUGUUGGGCUACACACGUGCUACAAUGGCACUUACAAUGGGAAGCAAAGAGGUGACUCCUAGCUAAUCCCAAAAAUGUGUCUCAGUUCGGAUUGUACUCUGUAACUCGAGUACAUGAAGCUGGAAUUGCUAGUAAUCG